AUCCUUACAAACCCAAAUUUUCACCUUUAUAGAAUUUAUUCAUGGCAUAGAUCAUAGUUUCUUCUACCUCUAAUAGUUUUUAUCAAGACAACUUCAUCGUUUAUCUACAUUCAUUAGAAUGCCCAUGUCUUUCUUUGGGACUUAAAUUUUAUAGUACAUUUUCAGCCUUUAAUUUCCAUUCAAAUUUCGUAUCAGCUUUGCCCACCUCUCUUGAGGAACAAGUUGAUGAUUACGCUUAAGCAAAUUUUCUUACUCAGUGAAUUUAUAAUUGUUUUGGAACAAAAACUUAUUAAAUAUCAUGAGAGAAGGGUUUUUGAAGUUUGAAAAAAAAAAAAGGAAACUUAGGUUUCACUUUUUCUAAAAAUUAUCAAAUAUUUAGAAUAACUUUGAAAUGACUAACAUAGUUCUAAAUGAUCAUCAUUUUCUUAAGGUAUCAAAAUAGGUGUUUUCAUAAUUUGAUUCCUUUAAAUUUUGAAUUUGUUUUGUUUAUCUAAUUUUAUCAAAUUUAAGUUAAAUUUACAACUACUUCGGCCAAAAAAUCACUUGAAUAUUAUCUUAAAAGGUUUUCUGAAUUUUUAUCCUUUUAAAACCUGGAUCAUACUAUUUUUGAAUGAGAUUAUACUAUCUUUAGGUUCCUAUUAAAGAAAAUUUAACCCCAUUAAAUUUUUUUUAGGAAAUUUAAAAAAAUUAUAAGCACAAAUACCUAUGUUUCUAAUUUUAGUCUUUAAAAUAGGUAUUUUCACUUAUUAAAGCCCUUAAAAGAUUGAAUUUGUCAUUAUCUAAAUUAACCUAGUUUAAGGUGAAUUUACAACCACCUUGAUCUAAAAAACCAGUUAAAUAUUAUUUUUCUGAAGUUCUAUUAAAAAAUUAUUUUCGAGACUAAGAGUUAUAUUAUUUCUGGAGUCAUAUUAAAAACAGUAUAAUCUUAUUAAAAAAGAAUAACUCAUGAUCCACUUUUCUCAAAAACUAUCAAAUUUCCAAGAUACUUUGGCAAUGACUUACACAGACUUAAAUGAUUUUUUCUAUUUUUUACCCUUAAAAUGAUGAAUCUGUGUUAAUUUUAUAAAUUUGGCCAAUUUAUGAUGAAUUUUCAACCACUUUACCCCAAAACCACUUGUAUAUUAUUAGAGAAUGUUUUUUUAGUUACAUAGUUUUCAAACAAGGUAUAUUGUUUUUGGAAACCUAUUCUAAAAUAGUAUAAUCCUAAUAAAUAAAGUGUAAUUAAGAUAAGUCUUUAACAUUGGUAUUUUCACUGAUUUCGAUCCUUAAAAGGUUUAAUUUGUGUAUUUAUUUAAUUUUGGCUAAUUCAACAUGAAUUUAUAACCACUUUGAGCAAAAAAAACAUAUAAAUAUUGUUAGAGAAGAUUUUUCGAAGUUGAGAGAAAAUUUUUUGGAGACCUAUCUUAUGUUGUUUUAAAAUGAACAAGGUCACAUUAUUUUUUAGUCCUAUUAAAAAAAUGGUGUAAUCUCACUUUAAAUAAAUAUAACUCAGAUAUCACAUUUAAAAAAAAAAUAUUAAAAUCUCAGAAAUCCUUAGAAAUGAUAUGCAAAGGCCCAAAUGACCUCUUUUUGGACAAAAUUACACAAUUUUUAACUUUAUUAAAAAAUAGUAUAAUCCCAUUAAAAAAGAACAUAACUUAGGUGCUAGUUUUCUUUUCUUUUUUUUGAAGUUUUAGGAAACUAUGGAAAUAAUGUAGGAAGGUCUAAAUGGCCACUUUUGGUUCUUAAGCUUUUAAAAUGGAUGUUUCCACGAUUUUUAGCCUUAAAAUAUUGAAUUUAUCUCAUUUUAAAAUUUUGUCCAAUUUAACGUGAAUUAAUAACCACUUUGGGUCACAAAAAAUGAAUAUCAUGAGAUUAAUGUUUUGAGAAAAUAAUUUUGAAGUCCUUGCUUAUAUUAUUUUUGAGAUUUGAUUUACACGAUUUUUGAAUAUGAUUGCAUUGUUUUUAUUAUUGAGUUCAAAAAUAGUGCGACUCAAUUCAAAAAUUUUAUAACUCAGAUCUCACUAUUUCUAUAUUUUAUGAAAUUUUAGAAUUCCUUUUAAAUGACUUACAAAGGCCUAUAUGUAUUUUUUUCCUAUUUCUAAGUCAUUCAAAUAGGCAUUUUCACUGAUUUCAACCCUUAAAUGGUUGAAUUUAUAUCAUUUUUUUUAUUUUUAUAAAAUUUGAAGUAAAUUUAAACUAUGUCGGGUAUAAAUUCACUUAAAUUUUAUUGAAAAAGUUUUUAUAAAAUAAUAAAAAUAAAAUUUUGGAGACUCGAGUUACAUUUUUUAAAUCUAGGGUUGCAUUGUUUUUAAUCCUAUUUAAAAAAAAAGCAUUUAAUGUCAUUCAAAAAGACUACGAAGACUAGAAAACAAUUUAACCCCAUCCAAAAAGCCUUUAAAAUAGGUAUGAAUAUUUAUUUUAACCGUUAAAGCAGUUCAUUAAAGUCCGAUUUCAAAUAAAGUUCAUUGUACUUUUAUUUGAUCCAAUUUGAGUACUUCUAUAGGAUAGACCUCAACAGAGUAUUUUAGUCCUAUUUAAAUAUAGGAUAACCUUGUUCAAAAAGAGUAAAAGUCAGGUCUAACUCUUUUUUAUUUUCUAAUUUUUAAGAACAUAAAAAACUAUUUACAAAGGCCUAAAUCAUCAAAUAAGUAUUUCACAUAUUUUUAAGCUUUUAAAAGGGCCAAGAGUCAUUUUUUCAAUUUUGACCAAUAUAACAUGAAUUUACAACUAUUUUGUACUAAAAUCACUUAUAUGUUAUUAAAGAACGUUUUCUAAAGUUUUGAAAUAUUUUUUUUUGGAGACAAAGUUACACUGUUUUCAAAUUUUUAGGUUUUUAUUCAAAAAUAGUGUAAUUUAGGUCUAACUAUUUUAGAAAUAUCCAAAAUUUCGAAAAAACUUGGAAAUAAUAUAUAAGACCCAAAUGAUCAUUUUUUAUUUUUAAUAUUUUAAAAUAAGAAUUUUUAUGUCAUUGUUGAGACAACCUAAUGGUUAAUGCAUUGUUGCAAUAUUAAUUGAUGUAAGGUUCGACUACAUGUUUGGGUGUCUUAUACAUUGUUUAAUGUAAUAAUUUUUUAAAACAUAUGGUUAUUAAAUUUUUAAAUCUUUGAAAAGCUCAAUUUGUACCUUUUUUUCAAAUUUGAUAUUUAAAGUGAAUUUACAAUUACUUUAGGCCAAAAACUAGUGAAUAUUAUCGUCGUAUGUUUUCCAAAGGAGUUGAGUUACAUUGUUUUUGGUUCUCAUUUACAAACAAUAUUUCUUCAUUAAAAAAAAAAAUGCCAAUUCAGUCAACUAUUUCAAAACGAUCCAGGAUUUAAUAAAACCUUAAAAACAUUUUAUAAAGGCUUGAACAAUCACUUUUUCUAUUUCAAACUUUUAAAAUAGAUAUUUUAAACUUUCAAAAUCGAUAUUUUCACUGAUUUUAGUCCUUUUCGACUAAUUUGAAAAGAAUUUACAAUCACUUAGGCCAAAAAUCACUUGUAAAUUAUUAGAAAUUUUCUUUCUAAGUUUUAAUUAAAAAAUUGGAUACUUGAAUUACAAUAUUUUUAAAUAGCAUUGGACUAUUUUUGAGUCCUAUUAUAAAAAAUGUAACCUCAGUUUCACUCAAUUCAAAAAAUCAUUAGAUUCUGUUUCUCUUAUAAAUUUACAUUCCUCCAAUAACAUUCAAUUAUAUUUCAUCUCUUGUUCCUUAAUCCUUCAGUAACUUUCGUUGUCUGACAAGCAUAAAAAAAAGGUGUAUCUGUCUGAAAAUUGCAAAGAAUUUUGGUGAACUUCUAUGAUUCAUAGAACGCCCUGUGCCUCAAGCUCGUCGCCUCCGACGACGUCAUCGUCGCCGAGGUACUGCCGCUGCCGACGCUCCCGUCGUUGUGGUACCUCUUGUGCCCCCCAGCGCUUGCCCCAACGGAAACGUCUUCAGGCACACCGAACACCGGUGCACCCUGCCGCCGUCGGAGGCCGCCGCGGUGGCGCUUGCGCUUGCCGUGGAAGAGCCCCGAGGCCGAGGCUUCCUCGACGCCGCUGCUAGCCUUCCGAUGGCUGGCAUUGUGCCCGCCCAGGUGAUCGAAUCAAACCUGAAAAACCAAAGAAAGAAGCAAAAAAAACAAAAAAUAAAAAAACAAAAAAUAUAUAUAUUGUGCAUAAAGAAAUAACUGAGAAAGAAAAGUUUUACCAUAACACAGAUUUAACCUCCUCAUUUCAUUCCAUUCAUAGUAUCCACUUACAAAAUUAAAGCACAUUCCUAAUACUUAAUCACACAUCCACUAAAUAAAGAUAGAUAAAUAAAAAUAUGAGCAGGAUUACAAUAAUAAACUACAUAGUACUAUUAGUCUAGGCAGGAACUAAGAUGACGCAGACAACACUCUUCUUCUCUAGUCAUUCUUCCAUAAACUGUCAUUAUAAAAAUAAGCACCAUAAUUAGUAUAAAAAUAAAUAAUAUCAAACACUUAGCCAUCACACAGUCGGUCACUCGCACUCGGUGUUUACCAUGAGAACCAUUUUAUAGACAAAACCGGCAACAGGGGGAGCCGCGGAGGUCCACCUUCGCAUAGAUGGGGGCGGUGUGGUGCUUCGAGGGUGAGGGUAAUAAACACGCCGCUGCAGCUUGUGUCCUUCCCAAGUAGGGGAAGUAAGUGAUGGCAGUGGAACUUCUUUCUUUCUUCAGAAGAGAGUGGUUGGCAUGAAUUGAAGGGCAUCAAUGGUGGGUUGAGAGAAAAGAGAUGGGAAGGGUAAGGUAUGGGGUUCAGUCAGUAGUUGGGACGAGGUGUGGAGGUGCGGUUACUCUCUCCCUCCCUCUUUUUAUAUGCAUAGCUGUAAGAGAAGCACAGGAAGAGAGAGAGCAGUGUGCAUAUACAUAGCUGUAAGAGAAGUACAGGAAGAGAGAGAGCAGUGUGCAUAUACAUAGCUGUAAGAGAAGCACAGGAAGAGGGGUUGAAUUUCCAAAUGGAAAUGGCAACCAUUGCUGCGCGGUCCCUCUGCUUACUUCCAAUGUACAUAAUGGAAAUGCCAUAGCUAUUCCGUUCCCAUGUCCAUAAUAGCAUACUCGAAGGAUGUGACGUGUAUGUACAUUUAUACGUUCAUAGGCAUACGUUAAUCAGGGAUGAAGAGAAGGAGCAGGGCAGCAUGACACGAAUAGCGCCACAUAUUAUGUAAUCUAGAUGCGAGCUUCGCCACAAAGUAAGUAGCGGGUAAUGGCACAUCAUCAUCGUUAUGGGACGGAUGUGUCACGCACCACCCAAUUAAAGGAAGGCACGGAAAGUGCCUCUUCCGGCUUCGAAAUAUUAUCCAUGUCCAAGAUCUUCUACCACAAGGAUAUCCCAUUACUACCGGCCAUGCUGCUGGUGCUAUCGAUUCAGGUGAUUUCUUCUUCUAGUAUCGAGAAAUUGGUAUUAAAAAAUAAUUAUUUAUUCUUUUUUUUGUAAAGAAGAGGCAAUAAAUAAUAUGGUUGCUGAAUUUUGAUGAUUUAGUUAGUUAGUUAGUUAUUGUUGGAUCACUCAUGACCAUUGACGACUGAAACGGGACCCAUAGGAUCAACAUAUGAAUCCCAUUAAUGCUGGCUUAUGGUAUUUACGCGGGUGAAGAUUUGCGCGUUGCUCGAAGUAUUUUGCUCGCUUUGCUCAGUCACUGUCACGGUCAUCAUCAUUUCACGGGUGAGCUUUUGAGAGACAGUGGAAUCACGGGUGAGCUUUUGAGAGGCAGUGGUUUCUCAGAUCGUGGUGUGUGAGAUAUGGCCAAGGUUGCGGAGAUGGUUAGCGAGCCGGAGAAGGAGAUUGUUGGGCUUGUCCGCAGGUGCAUAAAGACCGUGGCUUGAGGCACCCACUUCCCUUGUUAUUACCCUCACUCUCGAAGCACCACAUAGCCCUCAUCUUUGUGAAGGUGGACCUCCGCGGCCCCCCCUGCUUGUACGAGAUCUGCCGGAUGCGUUACUGAUGGUGGUGACGACAAAGUGUGCAGUCGAUCGAGACUUACCUGACCAUGAGGUUCCUCGAUACGGUUUCCGAUCACUCAUGACCAUUGCCUCCUCGUGCUCGCCCGCGGAUGAGGGCCUGGUACUUAUCGCGUGCCAUUGUUAUCCUCCGACUUGGCCGGCGAAGCUCGAGUACAGGCCUUUCGUCUACGGGUAAGCAUUCGGGUCGUAUCAAGCCCUAGGCGGGCACAAGGCUAGCCAUCGGAAGCCUAGCAGCGGUGUCGAGGAAGCCUUGCCCCGGGCUCUUCCACGAUUAGCGCAAGCGCCUCCUUCCGGCCUCCGGUGGCGGCAGGGUGCACCGGUGCUCGGGGUGCCUCAUUCUAUUCAUAGUUUUAACAUAGUAUUAUUCAUUCAUACAAAAUAAAAACAUACUCCUACAUAUUAAAUAUUAAAACAUACCAUAACAUUUACUCACACAUCCACAUACAUAAAUAAAAAGACUAAUUUAAAACUACAAACUACAUAGUGCUAUUAGCAAAAGGUGCUGUCUGGGGGGGGGGGGGCAGCAUUUCAGGCGGCGAGCGUAACAGUCUUUGGUACUUUGCCCUGUGACUGUCAUGGAUAUAAUCAAUAAGAUUAGCAAUAUAUAAAAAAAUAGAAUGACACCCUUACCCUUAGCCAUCUCUCACAAACAAUCACUCGCUCGUACUUGGUCUUAUACUACGACAACCAUUUUAUAGACGUGAACUCACUCCCUCUCAAAAGCCAACCCGUGAGGUGACAGUGACCACGACAGCGACCUGAGCAAAGCCAGUACUUCGUGCGACGUAUAAAUGUUCAUCCGCCUAAACACCGUGGUUCUAUGGGUCACGUUUCAAUGGCCAAUGAUCAUGUGUUAUUGGAAACCAUAAGUAAUAGAGUCGGAGGACAACAAUGGCAGUACCGGGCCCUCGCCCGAGGAGGCAGAGCGCCCCUCCUUUGUCGGCGGGUGAUCGAAGCGGAGGGAGAAUCACGUAUCAAACCUGAAAAAAAGAAACAAGCAAAAAAAAAAAAAAACAUAUUGUGCAUAACACAGAUUUAACCUCGUUUCAUUCCAUUCAUAGUAUCAAUAUACAGAGUAAAACGCUUAAUCACAGUCAUAUAUUACAAAAUUAAAGUACAACUCUAAGAAGUUAAUCACACAUCCCACUAGAUAAGAUAACCUAAGUUAACGAGGAGGAUUAGAUAAUAAUAAACUACAUAGUGCCAUUAACCGACGCUGGAUUUGGAUGACAACACGGUAGUUUUUCGGCACAGCAGUCUUUACCUUCGUCAAUAAAAAACAUUAAAAUAAUCAUUAUAAACAACAUAAAAAUAAAUAACAUCACACCAGCCAUCCUUCGUACGUUACUAUUUCACAACUCGUACUCGUUGUUGUACUAUGAGUACCAUUUUAUAGACAAUGGUUCGACCUACUCCCUCUCAAAAGCCAGCCCACCCGUGAGGUGAGUGCCCGCGACAACGAUGUGAGCUACUUUGUGCGAUGCGCUAAUGUUCAGCGUUGGUCCUAUUGGUCCGAUGCUGCAUUAGUUUGUUCGGUUUGCCAUGCUGACCAGAAGAUGGAUGCUGAAAAAGCAAAUUGUUACUAUACAUGUACAAAGUCAAAGAUUAUAAAUAUGUUUAUUUUGACUAAUAUUAGACAUUUUACAACAUCAACUACAAGUAUGAUGAAUGAAUGAUGGAUGGUCUCUGUUCCCACGUUUCAUCAUAGUAUCACUGAUUACAUGAGGGUUGUUAAUGACCACAUUUAUUAUCCAAAAAAUCAACAUUUGAUGUGUGUUUUAUCAUUAAUGAUGAGAACUUACAUUUGACAUAUUUGAAAGCAUAUGUAUUGCUUGAUACCAAUUAGAACAAACAUGGCAGAUCAAGAAAAAAUACUAGUUAUGAACCACAGUUUUUGGGCUGAGUUGACUCCUAAAGUUGUUGAAAGUCUCUUCCCUGUUCAUCAAGGAACACAAGUUUUAGAGCAGAAACAACCGAGGACAUACAAUUCAUCCAGAUGUGGAAUUCAUACCAAUUGAUGACCUCAUAUCCAUGUGAUGAUGCUAUUUUUUGUGCACGCAAAACAAAAUACUUGUAGCCCUGAGAUUCAUUCAUUCUAUGUUUAUUCAACCUGUAAAAGAAAUUACAUAAUGCUGGAAGAUAAUCUAAAGUUUAUCUGAGUUAGUGUUAAAAUGUGUUAUCUAGAGUCAUACUAAAUUCCUUGACACCGUUGCUAGGCUUCCGGUGGCUGGCCUUGUGCCAGCCUAGAGCCUGGUAAGACCCGAAUGCCUUCUCGCAGACUCAACGACCUGAAUGCCGAGUGGGAGGCCAACAAUGGCAGGCGAUGAGUACCGGACCCUCAGCCGUAGAGCGCCAAGUACUCUUUCUUUGUCGAUGCCAAGUACCGGACCCUCUCAAACCUGAAAAAAAAAAAAGAACAAAAGAAAAAAAAAGAAAAAAUAUAUUGUGCAUAAUGAAAUAGCAAAAGUUUUACCAUGACACAGGAUAACACGGGUGGGCUGGCACUGUCAGCUCACGGGUGGGUUGGCUUUUGAGAGGGAGUAGGUCGAAUCAUUGUCUAUAAAA
Musa acuminata AAA Group (dessert banana) is the source of this 8488-nucleotide long non-coding RNA. RefSeq lists it as uncharacterized. NCBI's taxonomy places the organism in Eukaryota, Viridiplantae, Streptophyta, Magnoliopsida, Zingiberales, Musaceae. The record is from RefSeq and is a predicted model, not a curated record. The transcript has 2 exons.